Molecule: non-coding RNA, 23 nt
Filed under: Arabidopsis thaliana (thale cress)
Lineage: Eukaryota; Viridiplantae; Streptophyta; Magnoliopsida; Brassicales; Brassicaceae
Source: RNAcentral
GGGAUUGGAGUCUUGAUCAUGGG